This 562-nucleotide ribosomal RNA is filed under the name Streptomyces griseoflavus. RNAcentral's name for it is "bacterial SSU rRNA". It matches the Rfam family "Bacterial small subunit ribosomal RNA", at positions 290 to 862 of the family's 1533-position model. The record is from RNAcentral. Lineage: Bacteria; Bacillati; Actinomycetota; Actinomycetes; Kitasatosporales; Streptomycetaceae.
GUCAGUGAGGGCGACCGGCCACACUGGGACUGAGACACGGCCCAGACUCCUACGGGAGGCAGCAGUGGGGAAUAUUGCACAAUGGGCGAAAGCCUGAUGCAGCGACGCCGCGUGAGGGAUGACGGCCUUCGGGUUGUAAACCUCUUUCAGCAGGGAAGAAGCGAAAGUGACGGUACCUGCAGAAGAAGCGCCGGCUAACUACGUGCCAGCAGCCGCGGUAAUACGUAGGGCGCGAGCGUUGUCCGGAAUUAUUGGGCGUAAAGAGCUCGUAGGCGGCUUGUCACGUCGGUUGUGAAAGCCCGGGGCUUAACCCCGGGUCUGCAGUCGAUACGGGCAGGCUAGAGUUCGGUAGGGGAGAUCGGAAUUCCUGGUGUAGCGGUGAAAUGCGCAGAUAUCAGGAGGAACACCGGUGGCGAAGGCGGAUCUCUGGGCCGAUACUGACGCUGAGGAGCGAAAGCGUGGGGAGCGAACAGGAUUAGAUACCCUGGUAGUCCACGCCGUAAACGGUGGGCACUAGGUGUGGGCGACAUUCCACGUCGUCCGUGCCGCAGCUAACGCAUUA